UUGGGCGUUCUACGCAUGCUACAAUAGGCCGGUACAAAGGGUUAGGCGAUACUGUGAGGUGGAGCUAAUCCCAAAACGACGGUCUCAGUUCGGAUUGAGGUCUGCAACUCGACCUCAUGAAGUUGGAGUCGCUAGUAAUCGCAGAUCAGCAACGCUGCGUGAAUACGUUCCCGGGCCUUGUACAC
Molecule: ribosomal RNA, 185 nt
Filed under: uncultured Arthrobacter sp.
Lineage: Bacteria; Bacillati; Actinomycetota; Actinomycetes; Micrococcales; Micrococcaceae
Description: partial 16S ribosomal RNA
Rfam family: Bacterial small subunit ribosomal RNA
Source: RNAcentral